GAUGAACGCUGGCGGCGUGCUUAACACAUGCAAGUCGAACGGGAAACCUUUUAUUGAAGCUUCGGCAGAUUUAGCUGGUUUUUAGUGGCGGACGGGUGAGUAACGCGUGGGUAACCUGCCUUAUACAGGGGGAUAACAGUCAGAAAUGGCUGCUAAUACCGCAUAAGCGCACAGAGCUGCAUGGCUCAGUGUGAAAAACUCCGGUGGUAUAAGAUGGACCCGCGUUGGAUUAGCUAGUUGGUGGGGUAACGGCCCACCAAGGCGACGAUCCAUAGCCGGCCUGAGAGGGUGAACGGCCACAUUGGGACUGAGACACGGCCCAGACUCCUACGGGAGGCAGCAGUGGGGAAUAUUGCACAAUGGGGGAAACCCUGAUGCAGCGACGCCGCGUGAAGGAAGAAGUAUCUCGGUAUGUAAACUUCUAUCAGCAGGGAAGAUAAUGACG
This 445-nucleotide ribosomal RNA is filed under the name uncultured bacterium. RNAcentral describes it as "bacterial SSU rRNA". It matches the Rfam family "Bacterial small subunit ribosomal RNA", at positions 28 to 456 of the family's 1533-position model. The record is from RNAcentral.